Molecule: small nuclear RNA, 104 nt
Organism: Jaculus jaculus (lesser Egyptian jerboa)
Lineage: Eukaryota; Metazoa; Chordata; Mammalia; Rodentia; Dipodidae
Source: Ensembl
GUGCUUACUUUGGCAGCACAUACACUAAAAUUGGAACAAUAUAGAGAUUAGCAUGACCCCUGCACAAGGAUGACAUGCAAAUUUGUGAAGUGUUCCAUAUUUUU